CCUACGGGUGGCAGCAGUGAGGAAUAUUGGUCAAUGGGCGAGAGCCUGAACCAGCCAAGUCGCGUGAGGGAAGACGGUCCUAUGGAUUGUAAACCUCUUUUGCCGGGGAGCAAAAAGCGGUACGUGUACCGCAUCGAGAGUACCCGGAGAAAAAGCAUCGGCUAACUCCGUGCCAGCAGCCGCGGUAAUACGGAGGAUGCGAGCGUUAUCCGGAUUUAUUGGGUUUAAAGGGUGCGCAGGCGGCGAGUUAAGUCAGCGGUAAAAUCGUGGAGCUCAACUCCAUCCAGCCGUUGAAACUGAUGAUCUUGAGUGGGCGAGAAGUAUGCGGAAUGCGUGGUGUAGCGGUGAAAUGCAUAGAUAUCACGCAGAACUCCGAUUGCGAAGGCAGCAUACCGGCGCCCGACUGACGCUGAAGCACGAAAGCGUGGGUAUCGAACAGGAUUAGAUACCCGAGUAGUC
RNAcentral lists this ribosomal RNA (459 nucleotides) under uncultured bacterium. RNAcentral's name for it is "partial 16S ribosomal RNA". It matches the Rfam family "Bacterial small subunit ribosomal RNA", at positions 338 to 795 of the family's 1533-position model. The record is from RNAcentral.